RNAcentral lists this transfer RNA (65 nucleotides) under marine eukaryotic metagenome. It matches the Rfam family "tRNA", at positions 5 to 66 of the family's 71-position model. Rfam says of the family: Transfer RNA (tRNA) molecules are approximately 80 nucleotides in length. Their secondary structure includes four short double-helical elements and three loops (D, anti-codon, and T loops). The record is from RNAcentral.
GCGUAGCUCAAUUGGUAGAGCACCGGUCUCCAAAACCGGGGGUUGUGGGUUCGAGUCCCUCCGCU